This 293-nucleotide ribosomal RNA is filed under the name uncultured Alteromonas sp. Its description in RNAcentral is "partial 16S ribosomal RNA". It matches the Rfam family "Bacterial small subunit ribosomal RNA", at positions 29 to 334 of the family's 1533-position model. Lineage: Bacteria; Pseudomonadati; Pseudomonadota; Gammaproteobacteria; Alteromonadales; Alteromonadaceae. The record is from RNAcentral.
AACGAACGUUAGCGGUGUGGAUUAGGCAUGCAAGUCGUGCGCGAAAGCCUUCGGGCGAGUAAAGCGGCGAAAGGGUGAGUAAUGCUUGGGAACUUGCCUUUGCGAGGGGGAUAACAGUUGGAAACGACUGCUAAUACCGCAUAAUGUCUUCGGACCAAACGGGGCUUAGGCUCCGGCGCAAAGAGAGGCCCAAGUGAGAUUAGCUAGUUGGUGAGGUAAAGGCUCACCAAGGCAACGAUCUCUAGCUGUUCUGAGAGGAAGAUCAGCCACACUGGGACUGAGACACGGCCCAG